UACGUAGGGGGCGAGCGUUAUCCGGAUUCACUGGGUGUAAAGGGAGCGUAGACGGCCAUGCAAGUCAGAUGUGAAAUCCCGCGGCUCAACCGCGGAACUGCUUUGGAAACUGUUAAGCUGGAGUACUGGAGAGGCAAGCGGAAUUCCUAGUGUAGCGGUGAAAUGCGUAGAUAUUAGGAGGAACACCAGUGGCGAAGGCGGCUUGCUGGACAGAGACUGACGUUGAGGCUCGAAAGCGUGGGGAGCAAACAGG
Molecule: ribosomal RNA, 253 nt
Filed under: uncultured bacterium
Lineage: Bacteria
Description: partial 16S ribosomal RNA
Rfam family: Bacterial small subunit ribosomal RNA
Source: RNAcentral